GAAAGGCCAAUCAAACCGGGAGAUAGCUGGUUCUCCCCGAAAGCUAUUUAGGUAGCGCCUCGUGAAUUCAUCUCCGGGGGUAGAGCACUGUUUCGGCUAGGGGGCCAUCCCGGCUUACCAACCCGAUGCAAACUGCGAAUACCGGAGAAUGUUAUCACGGGAGACACACGGCGGGUGCUAACGUCCGUCGUGAAGAGGGAAACAACCCAGACCGCCAGCUAAGGUCCCAAAGUCAUGGUUAAGUGGGAAACGAUGUGGGAAGGCCCAGACAGCCAGGAUGUUGGCUUAGAAGCAGCCAUCAUUUAAAGAAAGCGUAAUAGCUCACUGGUCGAGUCGGCCUGCGCGGAAGAUGUAACGGGGCUAAACCAUGCACCGAAGCUGCGGCAGCGAACGUAUCACCCAAGACAACUUUACGGAGUUGACGAUUGACGGAGCGAAGCGACGUCAAAGCGUUCAUUAAAGUCGAGUUGGCUUAGGGAUACGUUCGUUGGGUAGGGGAGCGUUCUGUAAGCCUGUGAAGGUGUGUCGUGAGGCAUGCUGGAGGUAUCAGAAGUGCGAAUGCUGACAUAAGUAACGAUAAAGCGGGUGAAAAGCCCGCUCGCCGGAAGACCAAGGGUUCCUGUCCAACGUUAAUCGGGGCAGGGUGAGUCGACCCCUAAGGCGAGGCCGAAAGGCGUAGUCGAUGGGAAACGGGUUAAUAUUCCCGUACUUGGUGUUACUGCGAAGGGGGGACGGAGAAGGCUAUGUUGGCCGGGCGACGGUUGUCCCGGUUUAAGCGUGUAGGUGUGUGUUCCAGGUAAAUCCGGUUCACUUUAACACUGAGGCGUGACGACGAGGCACUACGGUGCUGAAGCAACAAAUGCCCUGCUUCCAGGAAAAGCCUCUAAGCAUCAGGUAACAC
This 901-nucleotide ribosomal RNA is filed under the name Salmonella enterica subsp. enterica serovar Typhimurium. Its description in RNAcentral is "partial 23S ribosomal RNA". It matches the Rfam family "Bacterial large subunit ribosomal RNA", at positions 823 to 1637 of the family's 2925-position model. Lineage: Bacteria; Pseudomonadati; Pseudomonadota; Gammaproteobacteria; Enterobacterales; Enterobacteriaceae. The record is from RNAcentral.